Molecule: ribosomal RNA, 254 nt
Filed under: uncultured prokaryote
Description: partial 16S ribosomal RNA
Rfam family: Bacterial small subunit ribosomal RNA
Source: RNAcentral
UACGUAGGGAGCAAGCGUUGUCCGGAAUCAUUGGGCGUAAAGCGCGCGUAGGUGGCCUCAUAAGUCCGCUGUGAAAGUCAAAGGCUCAACCUUUGAAAGCCGGUGGAUACUGUGAGGCUAGAGUACGGAAGAGGCGAGUGGAAUUCCUGGUGUAGCGGUGAAAUGCGUAGAUAUCGAGAGGAACACCUGCGGCGAAGGCGGGUUGCUGGGCUGACACUGACGCUGACAGCGCGAAAGCCAGGGGAGCAAACGGG